Molecule: ribosomal RNA, 253 nt
Filed under: uncultured bacterium
Lineage: Bacteria
Description: partial 16S ribosomal RNA
Rfam family: Bacterial small subunit ribosomal RNA
Source: RNAcentral
UACGAAGGGGGCUAGCGUUGCUCGGAAUCACUGGGCGUAAAGCGCACGUAGGCGGACUCUUAAGUCGGUGGUGAAAUCCUGGAGCUCAACUCCAGAACUGCCUUCGAUACUGAGAGUCUCGAGUCCGGGAGAGGUGAGUGGAACUGCGAGUGUAGAGGUGAAAUUCGUAGAUAUCAGGAGGAACACCGGCGGCGAAGGCGGCCAUCUGGCCCGGAACUGACGCUCAUGUGCGAAAGCGUGGGGAGCAAACAGG